The sequence is a ribosomal RNA, 186 nucleotides long. It matches the Rfam family "Bacterial small subunit ribosomal RNA", at positions 1348 to 1533 of the family's 1533-position model. The record is from Rfam.
AUCAGCAUGCCGCGGUGAAUACGUUCCCGGGCCUUGUACACACCGCCCGUCACACCACGAGAGUUUGUAACACCCGAAGUCGGUGAGGUAACCUUUUGGAGCCAGCCGCCUAAGGUGGGACAGAUGAUUGGGGUGAAGUCGUAACAAGGUAGCCGUAUCGGAAGGUGCGGCUGGAUCACCUCCUUU